AGUGAACGCUGGCGGUAGGCCUAACACAUGCAAGUCGAACGGCAGCACAGAGGAGCUUGCUCCUUGGGUGGCGAGUGGCGGACGGGUGAGGAAUACAUCGGAAUCUACUCUGUCGUGGGGGAUAACGUAUGGAAACUUACGCUAAUACCGCAUACGACCUACGGGUGAAAGCAGGGGAUCUUCGGACCUUGCGCGAUUGAAUGAGCCGAUGUCGGAUUAGCUAGUUGGCGGGGCAAAGGCCCACCAAGGCGACGAUCCGUAGCUGGUCUGAGAGGAUGAUCAGCCACACUGGAACUGAGACACGGUCCAGACUCCUACGGGAGGCAGCAGUGGGGAAUAUUGGACAAUGGGCGCAAGCCUGAUCCAGCCACACCGCGUGGGUGAAGAAGGCCUUCGGGUUGUAAAGCCCUUUUGUUGGGAAAGAAAUCCAUCUGGUUAAUACCCGGGUGGGAUGACGGUACCCAAAGAAUAAGCACCGGCUAACUUCGUGCCAGCCGCCGCCGUAA
Molecule: ribosomal RNA, 506 nt
Filed under: uncultured bacterium
Lineage: Bacteria
Description: partial 16S ribosomal RNA
Rfam family: Bacterial small subunit ribosomal RNA
Source: RNAcentral